RNAcentral lists this ribosomal RNA (843 nucleotides) under uncultured marine bacterium. Its description in RNAcentral is "bacterial SSU rRNA". It matches the Rfam family "Bacterial small subunit ribosomal RNA", at positions 52 to 906 of the family's 1533-position model. The record is from RNAcentral.
UACAUGCAGUCGAACGAAGACCCUUGUACUCGUACGAGGAAUUCUUAGUGGCGAACGCCUUAUUAUCGCGUUGGUGACCUGCCCCGAAGUGGGGGACAACCCUCCGAAAGGACUGCUAAUACCCCAUGUGGCCGUGAUAAUUAGAAAGUCACGACUAAAGGAGUAAUCCGCUUCGGGAGGGGCCUGCGUCCCAUCAGCUAGUUGGUAAGGUAAUGGCUUACCAAGGCUACGACGGGUAGGGGACCUGAGAGGGUGGCCCCCCACACUGGUACUGAAACACGGACCAGACACCUACGGGUGGCAGCAGUAGGGAAUAUUGCACAAUGGGCGAAAGCCUGAUGCAGCAACACCGCGUGUGUGAUGAAGGCCUUCGGGUCGUAAAGCACUUUUAUGAGGGAAGAGGAAGGACGGUACCUCAUGAAUAAGGAUCGGCUAACUACGUGCCAGCAGCCGCGGUAACACGUAGGAUCCAAGCGUUAUCCGGAUUUACUGGGCGUAAAGCGCGUGUAGGCGGCUUAGUAAGUUGGAUGUGAAAGCUCCCGGCCCAACCGGGAGACGUCGUUCAAUACUGCUAGGCUUGAGGACGAUAGAGGAAGGUGGAAUUCCGGGUGUAGUGGUGAAAUGCGUAGAUAUCCGGAGGAACACCAGUGGCGAAGGCGGCCUUCUGGGUCGUUCCUGACGCUCAGACGCGAAAGCUAGGGUAGCGAACGGGAUUAGAAACCCCGGUAGUCCUAGCCGUAAACGAUGUCAACUUGGUGUUGGUGGUGUAAAAACCAUCAGUGCCGUAGCUAACGCGAUAAGUUGACCGCCUGGGGACUACGACCGCAAGGUUAAAACUCAAAG